This 497-nucleotide ribosomal RNA is filed under the name uncultured bacterium. RNAcentral's name for it is "partial 16S ribosomal RNA". It matches the Rfam family "Bacterial small subunit ribosomal RNA", at positions 28 to 507 of the family's 1533-position model. The record is from RNAcentral.
GAUGAACGCUGGCGGCGUGCCUAAUACAUGCGAGUCGAGCGAACGGACGAGAAGCUUGCUUCUCUGAUGUUAGCGGCGGACGGGUGAGUAACACGUGGAUAACCUACCUAUAAGACUGGGAUAACUUCGGGAAACCGGAGCUAAUACCGGAUAAUAUUUUGAACCGCAUGGUUCAAAAGUGAAAGACGGUCUUGCUGUCACUUAAAGAUGGAUCCGCGCUGCAUUAGCUAGUUGGUAAGGUAACGGCUUACCAAGGCAACGAUGCAUAGCCGACCUGAGAGGGUGAUCGGCCACACUGGAACUGAGACACGGUCCAGACUCCUACGGGAGGCAGCAGUAGGGAAUCUUCCGCAAUGGGCGAAAGCCUGACGGAGCAACGCCGCGUGAGUGAUGAAGGUCUUCGGAUCGUAAAACUCUGUUAUUAGGGAAGAACAUAUGUGUAAGUAACUGUGCACAUCUUGACGGUACCUAAUCAGAAAGCCACGGCUAACUACGUG